This 279-nucleotide unclassified non-coding RNA is filed under the name Hevea brasiliensis (rubber tree). Lineage: Eukaryota; Viridiplantae; Streptophyta; Magnoliopsida; Malpighiales; Euphorbiaceae. The record is from RNAcentral.
UGGAAACAGCCUCUCUGCAAAGCAAAGCAUAGGAAGGCUACAUACAUCAACCCUCCCCAGGGCUCGCAAGUGUGGAAUGCUUUGUGCGCUGGGUCACCAUUUACAUAGUCUGAACCAGAAUUAUGUAAUGGUUAUGUGAUUUCCAAAUGCUUUGUCUUCAACAGAAUAAAUUGUGGGACUUUUGACCCUCAGUCCUAGUUUCUGUUAUUAAUUCACCAUUGUUGUAUCAUGUUCUUGUUUCUGUUGGACAGGUACCUGCUGGAGUUUGAUGAUGACGAG